Molecule: ribosomal RNA, 253 nt
Filed under: uncultured bacterium
Lineage: Bacteria
Description: partial 16S ribosomal RNA
Rfam family: Bacterial small subunit ribosomal RNA
Source: RNAcentral
UACGGAGGAUCCAAGCGUUAUCCGGAUUUAUUGGGUUUAAAGGGUGCGUAGGCGGACUCAUAAGUCAGUGGUGAAAGUUUGCAGCUUAACUGUAAAAUUGCCAUUGAAACUGUUAGUCUUGAGUGCAAGUGAGGUAAGCGGAAUGUGUAAUGUAGCGGUGAAAUGCUUAGAUAUUACACAGAACACCAAUUGCGAAGGCAGCUUACUGGUAUGUAACUGACGCUGAGGCACGAAAGCGUGGGGAUCAAACAGG